Molecule: ribosomal RNA, 802 nt
Filed under: uncultured Gammaproteobacteria bacterium
Lineage: Bacteria; Pseudomonadati; Pseudomonadota; Gammaproteobacteria
Description: bacterial SSU rRNA
Rfam family: Bacterial small subunit ribosomal RNA
Source: RNAcentral
CUGGCGGCAUGCCUACACAUGCAAGUCGAACGGUAGCAGGCCCUUCGGGGUGCUGACGAGUGGCGGACGGGUGAGUAAUGCGUAGGGAUCUGCCUUGUUGAGUGGGAUAGCCUAGGGAAACUUAGGGUAAUACCGCGUAAGCCUGAAAGGGGAAAGCCGGGGACUGUUAAAGGCCUGGCGCGACAAGAUGAACCUACGUCGGAUUAGCUUGUUGGUGAGGUAAAGGCUCACCAAGGCGAUGAUCCGUAGCUGGUCUGAGAGGACGACCAGCCACACUGGGACUGAGACACGGCCCAGACUCCUACGGGAGGCAGCAGUGGGGAAUAUUGGACAAUGGGCGCAAGCCUGAUCCAGCAAUGCCGCGUGUGUGAAGAAGGCCUGCGGGUUGUAAAGCACUUUCGGUGGGGAGAAAGAGGCUGUUGCUAAUAUCAACAGCGGAUGAUGCUACCCACAGAAGAAGCACCGGCUAACUCUGUGCCAGCAGCCGCGGUAAUACAGAGGGUGCGAGCGUUAAUCGGAAUUACUGGGCGUAAAGGGUGCGUAGGUGGUUACGUAAGUUAGGUGUGAAAUUCCUGGGCUCAACCUGGGGACUGCGCCUAAUACUGCGAGACUAGAGUACUGUNAGAGGAAGGUGGAAUUUCCAGUGUAGCGGUGAAAUGCGUAGAUAUUGGAAGGAACAUCGGUGGCGAAGGCGACCUUCUGGACAGAUACUGACACCGAGGCACGAAAGCAUGGGGAGCAAACAGGAUAGAUACCCUGGUAGUCAUGCCGUAACGAUGAAGACUGGCUGUUGNAACCUUAG